Molecule: ribosomal RNA, 253 nt
Filed under: uncultured bacterium
Lineage: Bacteria
Description: partial 16S ribosomal RNA
Rfam family: Bacterial small subunit ribosomal RNA
Source: RNAcentral
GACAGAGGCCUCAAGCGUUAGGCGGAAUCACUGGGCUUAAAGCGUGUGUAGGCGGAUCGUUAAGUGUCUUGUGAAAUCCCACGGCUCGCCCGUGGAACGGCUGGGCAUACUGGCGAUCUUGGGCCAACUAGGGGCAACUGGAACAAGCGGUGGAGCGGUGAAAUGCGUAGAUAUCGCUUGGAACGCCGAAGGUGAAAACAGGUUGCUGGGGUUGUGCCGACGCUGAGACACGAAAGCCAGGGGAGCAAACGGG